UCCGAGUUGACCCCGGCAGUCUCCUAUGAGUCCCCGGCAUAACCCGCUGGCAACAUAGAACGAGGGUUGCGCUCGUUGCGGGACUUAACCCAACAUCUCACGACACGAGCUGACGACAACCAUGCACCACCUGUACACCGACCACAAGGGGGCGACCAUCUCUGGCCGUUUCCGGUGUAUGUCAAGCCUUGGUAAGGUUCUUCGCGUUGCAUCGAAUUAAUCCGCAUGCUCCGCCGCUUGUGCGGGCCCCCGUCAAUUCCUUUGAGUUUUAGCCUUGCGGCCGUACUCCCCAGGCGGGGCGCUUAAUGCGUUAGCUACGACACAGAAACCGUGGAAAGGUCCCUACAUCUAGCGCCCAACGUUUACGGCAUGGACUAC
Molecule: unclassified non-coding RNA, 378 nt
Filed under: uncultured Microbacteriaceae bacterium
Lineage: Bacteria; Bacillati; Actinomycetota; Actinomycetes; Micrococcales; Microbacteriaceae
Description: contains 16S-23S intergenic spacer region
Source: RNAcentral